This 484-nucleotide ribosomal RNA is filed under the name uncultured bacterium. Its description in RNAcentral is "bacterial SSU rRNA". It matches the Rfam family "Bacterial small subunit ribosomal RNA", at positions 8 to 489 of the family's 1533-position model. The record is from RNAcentral.
AGAGUUUGAUCCUGGCUCAGAUUGAACGCUGGCGGAAUGCUUUACACAUGCAAGUCGAACGGUAGAGGGGGCAACCCCUUGAGAGUGGCGAACGGGUGAGUAAUAUAUCGGAACGUGCCCAGUCGUGGGGGAUAACGUAGCGAAAGUUACGCUAAUACCGCAUACGAUCUAAGGAUGAAAGCGGGGGACUCGCAAGAGCCUCGCGCGAUUGGAGCGGCCGAUAUCAGAUUAGGUAGUUGGUGGGGUAAAGGCUCACCAAGCCGACGAUCUGUAGCUGGUCUGAGAGGACGACCAGCCACACUGGAACUGAGACACGGUCCAGACUCCUACGGGAGGCAGCAGUGGGGAAUUUUGGACAAUGGACGCAAGUCUGAUCCAGCCAUUCCGCGUGCAGGAUGAAGGCCCUCGGGUUGUAAACUGCUUUUGUACGGAACGAAAAGGUUUCUAUUAAUACUAGGAGCUCAUGACGGUACCGUAAGAAUAG